Molecule: unclassified non-coding RNA, 309 nt
Filed under: fungal sp.
Lineage: Eukaryota; Fungi
Description: partial internal transcribed spacer region
Rfam family: Eukaryotic small subunit ribosomal RNA (bases 1-46)
Source: RNAcentral
AAGUCGUAACAAGGUAACCGUAGGUGAACCUGCGGUUGGAUCAUUAAUAAAAAUAAAAAAGAUUGUUUUCCCGAAAGGGUUAAACGUCCAACUCUCCCCCAUUUUGUGAACUUGUAAAUCUCCUCUUUUUUAACAGAGAGAUUAUUUUCUUUUGGGAUUGCCCUCUUCCAGGGGUGGUCCCAAGUUUAUAAUUUUCUCUUGUUAAAAGAAUUUUAAAUGCCAAUAAUUGAAAGAACUUGUCUUUACCGUUUAAAAUUUAUAAAAAAAAAUAAUAAUAAACAACUUUUGACAACGGAUCUCUAGGCUCUC